GGGGAAUCUUAGACAAUGGGCGCAAGCCUGAUCUAGCCAUGCCGCGUGAGUGAUGAAGGCCUUAGGGUCGUAAAGCUCUUUCGCCAGGGAUGAUAAUGACAGUACCUGGUAAAGAAACCCCGGCUAACUCCGUGCCAGCAGCCGCGGUAAUACGGAGGGGGUUAGCGUUGUUCGGAAUUACUGGGCGUAAAGCGCGCGUAGGCGGAUUGGAAAGUUGGGGGUGAAAUCCCAGGGCUCAACCCUGGAACUGCCUCCAAAACUACUAGUCUAGAGUUCGAGAGAGGUGAGUGGAAUUCCGAGUGUAGAGGUGAAAUUCGUAGAUAUUCGGAGGAACACCAGUGGCGAAGGCGGCUCACUGGCUCGAUACUGACGCUGAGGUGCGAAAGUGUGGGGAGCAAACAGG
RNAcentral lists this ribosomal RNA (403 nucleotides) under uncultured bacterium. Its description in RNAcentral is "bacterial SSU rRNA". It matches the Rfam family "Bacterial small subunit ribosomal RNA", at positions 356 to 776 of the family's 1533-position model. The record is from RNAcentral.